GACGGAGGGGGCAAGCGUUGUUCGGAAUUAUUGGGCGUAAAGGGCUCGUAGGCGGCCAACUAAGUCAGACGUGAAAUCCCUCAGCUUAACUGGGGAACUGCGUCUGAUACUGGAUGGCUUGGAUUCGGGAGAGGAAUGCGGAAUUCCAGGUGUAGCGGUGAAAUGCGUAGAUAUCUGGAGGAAUACCGGUGGCGAAGGCGGCAUCCUGGACCGGCAUUGACGCUGAGGAGCGAAAGCUAGGGGAGCAAACGGG
RNAcentral lists this ribosomal RNA (253 nucleotides) under uncultured bacterium. RNAcentral's name for it is "partial 16S ribosomal RNA". It matches the Rfam family "Bacterial small subunit ribosomal RNA", at positions 524 to 776 of the family's 1533-position model. The record is from RNAcentral.